CCAGACUCCUACGGGAGGCAGCAGUGGGGAAUAUUGCACAAUGGGGGAAACCCUGAUGCAGCGACGCCGCGUGAGUGAAGAAGUAAUUCGUUAUGUAAAGCUCUAUCAGCAGGGAAGAAAAUGACGGUACCUGAGUAAGAAGCCCCGGCUAACUCCGUGCCAGCAGCCGCGGUAAUACGGAGGAUCCGAGCGUUAUCCGGAUUUACUGGGUGUAAAGGGAGCGUAGGCGGUGCAGCAAGUCAGAAGUGAAAGCCCGGGGCUCAACUCCGGGACUGCUUUUGAAACUGUGUGGCUGGAGUGUCGGAGAGGCAGGCGGAAUUCCUAGUGUAGCGGUGAAAUGCGUAGAUAUUAGGAGGAACACCAGUGGCGAAGGCGGCCUGCUGGACGAUGACUGACGUUGAGGCUCGAAAGCGUGGGGAGCGAACAGGAUUAGAUACCCCGGUACAA
Molecule: ribosomal RNA, 447 nt
Filed under: uncultured bacterium
Lineage: Bacteria
Description: bacterial SSU rRNA
Rfam family: Bacterial small subunit ribosomal RNA
Source: RNAcentral